CUCCUCGUAGUUCAAUGGAUAGAACGGGCGCCUCCUAAGCGCCAGAUACAGGUUCGAUUCCUGUCGAGGAGACCA
This 75-nucleotide transfer RNA is filed under the name Melaminivora sp. Its description in RNAcentral is "tRNA-Arg". It matches the Rfam family "tRNA". Rfam says of the family: Transfer RNA (tRNA) molecules are approximately 80 nucleotides in length. Their secondary structure includes four short double-helical elements and three loops (D, anti-codon, and T loops). RNAcentral also lists the same sequence under 1 other name. The record is from RNAcentral. Lineage: Bacteria; Pseudomonadati; Pseudomonadota; Betaproteobacteria; Burkholderiales; Comamonadaceae.